Molecule: ribosomal RNA, 1340 nt
Filed under: Staphylococcus aureus 63-D10
Lineage: Bacteria; Bacillati; Bacillota; Bacilli; Caryophanales; Staphylococcaceae
Description: bacterial LSU rRNA
Rfam family: Bacterial large subunit ribosomal RNA
Source: RNAcentral
UGUGUCUUCGAGUCGUUGAUUUCACACUGCCGAGAAAAGCCUCUAGAUAGAAAAUAGGUGCCCGUACCGCAAACCGACACAGGUAGUCAAGAUGAGAAUUCUAAGGUGAGCGAGCGAACUCUCGUUAAGGAACUCGGCAAAAUGACCCCGUAACUUCGGGAGAAGGGGUGCUCUUUAGGGUUAACGCCCAGAAGAGCCGCAGUGAAUAGGCCCAAGCGACUGUUUAUCAAAAACACAGGUCUCUGCUAAACCGUAAGGUGAUGUAUAGGGGCUGACGCCUGCCCGGUGCUGGAAGGUUAAGAGGAGUGGUUAGCUUCUGCGAAGCUACGAAUCGAAGCCCCAGUAAACGGCGGCCGUAACUAUAACGGUCCUAAGGUAGCGAAAUUCCUUGUCGGGUAAGUUCCGACCCGCACGAAAGGCGUAACGAUUUGGGCACUGUCUCAACGAGAGACUCGGUGAAAUCAUAGUACCUGUGAAGAUGCAGGUUACCCGCGACAGGACGGAAAGACCCCGUGGAGCUUUACUGUAGCCUGAUAUUGAAAUUCGGCACAGCUUGUACAGGAUAGGUAGGAGCCUUUGAAACGUGAGCGCUAGCUUACGUGGAGGCGCUGGUGGGAUACUACCCUAGCUGUGUUGGCUUUCUAACCCGCACCACUUAUCGUGGUGGGAGACAGUGUCAGGCGGGCAGUUUGACUGGGGCGGUCGCCUCCUAAAAGGUAACGGAGGCGCUCAAAGGUUCCCUCAGAAUGGUUGGAAAUCAUUCAUAGAGUGUAAAGGCAUAAGGGAGCUUGACUGCGAGACCUACAAGUCGAGCAGGGUCGAAAGACGGACUUAGUGAUCCGGUGGUUCCGCAUGGAAGGGCCAUCGCUCAACGGAUAAAAGCUACCCCGGGGAUAACAGGCUUAUCUCCCCCAAGAGUUCACAUCGACGGGGAGGUUUGGCACCUCGAUGUCGGCUCAUCGCAUCCUGGGGCUGUAGUCGGUCCCAAGGGUUGGGCUGUUCGCCCAUUAAAGCGGUACGCGAGCUGGGUUCAGAACGUCGUGAGACAGUUCGGUCCCUAUCCGUCGUGGGCGUAGGAAAUUUGAGAGGAGCUGUCCUUAGUACGAGAGGACCGGGAUGGACAUACCUCUGGUGUACCAGUUGUCGUGCCAACGGCAUAGCUGGGUAGCUAUGUGUGGACGGGAUAAGUGCUGAAAGCAUCUAAGCAUGAAGCCCCCCUCAAGAUGAGAUUUCCCAACUUCGGUUAUAAGAUCCCUCAAAGAUGAUGAGGUUAAUAGGUUCGAGGUGGAAGCAUGGUGACAUGUGGAGCUGACGAAUACUAAUCGAUCGAAGACUUAAUC